GCUAAACAGGAGUGCCCGGGCCCAGCUGUUGCAUUGUAUUGCUUUUAUUCACACCAGAUGUUACCCGUCACCACACUGUAGAAUUACCAACCCAGUGCGGCUCAUGUACCAGGUGGUAAUUUGGCUCCCAAGUGUAAUGAAGGCAGCAGACAUUGUGUUCAUGUACUGCCUUGUAAGCUACAUACCAGACAGAUGGACAGUGAAGCCCAAAAGGAAGAGAGAGUCUGGACUGGAACAGAAGUAAACUCUGUCAGGCAUGAGUGACAAGGCAACAUCAGACAGUGUGCUGCUCCACUGCUCAAGAAAGACACCAUGGUAUUAUAUGCAAAAAUACAGGUCGGAAGGAAAAUCGAAAUACAAGCAGCAAGUGAAGCAUUUUAACCUUGCAGCCAUCUUCUAAACAAAAAAACAAAGUAUGAACGUAAUUCGCACAUCACACUCCACACACAAGCCCCAAGUUCUUUUGUUUUACCCAAUUUUAUUUUCACUUUGAGCUGUUUUCCCCUGGCUGUAGCACAACACUGAGUUUAACAGUCUGCUUUUAUCUAUUCUGAAUGUAUUUCAGAUCACUGAAUGCCUUUUCAAGGCUUGUUCAGGAAUCAAAGACAUAUAGAAAGCAACAUAUAACCGUGGUAUGUCAUUCAAUACAUCACUAAUUGGUUGUGACUCAUAAAAGGGCCACAAUGGAUUGUACUGCUCUAUUAAUUGCCCUAGUAAACGCCACAUGUGCUGUGCAGUACGGGCAACAGUGCAGGACAGAUGGAACAAACAUUGGAGAGCCAACUCAAAUCCACGGUCUAUUUUUUAUAAGGAUGCAGUCUAGCGUAGUUUGAGUCCCAGAAACAAAAUCCAACUGCUCAUUUAAAAAACGAGUUCACUGAGCCUCGACAGAAAAGCUUGCUUAUGCCAUCUGCGACAGAGCAGAAGAGAGUUUAAUAAACUGAACUUGUCUUGUUAGUACGCCAUCACUUUUCCCAAGUGAAAACUAUUAUAGAUUUGGCACUGCUGUCCAAGUUUACCAGUAAAUCGUAUACUUUGCUCACAUAUCAAAUGCUACGGCAGUUGAUUUGUCAUUUUCUUCAUCCCUAUCAGAAGGUUCUCUCUUGUUUUCUUGUAACAUGGCAUGUUUGUUAAAGUUUAAUUGUGUCGCUCAACACCAUAGCAUGUGACCUCGGACUUGCCUACAGUAGUUAAGCUCUAAAGCUCAGCUCAUACAUCACAAAGUUGCUUCCAUUUUAAUUAUGGCGACCACAGAGUUCAUCAUACCAGCUGGAUCAGGACUGUGUUCAUAUUUUCUCCCUGUUUUGUGCAAAUUCAUCACUUGCAGAUUUAUGCAGUAACCUUAACUGAAACUAAAUGAAUGCUCAAACGUUGUGCCGUAUUUUUCAGACAACCACUUGGACAUACUGAUAGAGACAUUUAUUAGAUGAAAUUGUUUAGAAAUGUGGAACGAGGAAUGAAUGACAACUGUCUAGCACAGACACCAUCACGCUCUUAUCCCUGCUUCACAAAUGAGACCACAGCUGAAUGAAUUACACUGGAUGCUGAGAGCCCUAAAUAAAAGUGACAACGAAGUCUUUGUAUAAUAAACAUUCUAUUUUCUC
Long non-coding RNA from Acipenser ruthenus (sterlet), 1604 nucleotides. RefSeq lists it as uncharacterized. The transcript has 2 exons. The record is from RefSeq and is a predicted model, not a curated record. NCBI's taxonomy places the organism in Eukaryota, Metazoa, Chordata, Actinopteri, Acipenseriformes, Acipenseridae.